This 482-nucleotide ribosomal RNA is filed under the name uncultured bacterium. RNAcentral's name for it is "bacterial SSU rRNA". It matches the Rfam family "Bacterial small subunit ribosomal RNA", at positions 28 to 507 of the family's 1533-position model. The record is from RNAcentral.
GAUGAACGCUAGCUACAGGCUUAACACAUGCAAGUCGAGGGGUAGCAGGGUAGCAAUACCGCUGACGACCGGCGCACGGGUGAGUAACACGUAUCCAACCUUCCCAUAACUCGGGGAUAGCCUUUCGAAAGAAAGAUUAAUACCCGAUAGUACUUUUUUGAGGCAUCUUAAGAAAGUUAAAGAUUUAUUGGUUAUGGAUGGGGAUGCGUUCCAUUAGAUUGUUGGUGAGGUAACGGCUCACCAAGUCUUCGAUGGAUAGGGGUUCUGAGAGGAAGGUCCCCCACAUUGGUACUGAGACACGGACCAAACUCCUACGGGAGGCAGCAGUGAGGAAUAUUGGUCAAUGGGCGAGAGCCUGAACCAGCCAAGUAGCGUGAAGGAUGAAGGUCCUAUGGAUUGUAAACUUCUUUUAUAGUAGAAUAAAGUGAUCCACGUGUGGAUUUUUGUAUAUAUACUAUGAAUAAGGAUCGGCUAACUCCGUG